CCUACGGGAGGCUGCAGUGGGGAAUAUUGCACAAUGGGGGAAACCCUGAUGCAGCGACGCCGCGUGAGUGAAGAAGUAUCUCGGUACGUAAAGCUCUAUCAGCAGGGAAGAAAAUGACGGUACCUGACUAAGAAGCCCCGGCUAACUACGUGCCAGCAGCCGCGGUAAUACGUAGGGGGCAAGCGUUAUCCGGAUUUACUGGGUGUAAAGGGAGCGUAGGCGGCAGCACAAGUCUGGAGUGAAAUCCCGGGGCUUAACCCCGGAACUGCUUUGGAAACUGUGCGGCUGGAGUUCAGGAGGGGUAAGCGGAAUGCCUAGUGUAGCGGUGAAAUGCGUAGAGAUUAGGAAGAACACCGGUGGAGAAGGCGGCUUACUAGACUGUAACUGACGUUGAGGCUCGAAAGCGUGGGGAGCAAACAGGAUUAGAUACCCGGGUAGUC
RNAcentral lists this ribosomal RNA (440 nucleotides) under uncultured bacterium. RNAcentral's name for it is "partial 16S ribosomal RNA". It matches the Rfam family "Bacterial small subunit ribosomal RNA", at positions 338 to 795 of the family's 1533-position model. The record is from RNAcentral.